Molecule: non-coding RNA, 31 nt
Filed under: Rattus norvegicus (Norway rat)
Lineage: Eukaryota; Metazoa; Chordata; Mammalia; Rodentia; Muridae
Source: RNAcentral
UCCAACUUCUCUGUCACGUGAUCUCUACAGU